UGAGUUUGAUCUUGGCUCAGGACGAACGCUGGCGGCGUGCUUAACACAUGCAAGUCGAACGAUGAAGCCUUUCGGGGUGGAUUAGUGGCGAACGGGUGAGUAACACGUGGGCAAUCUGCCCUGCACUCUGGGACAAGCCCUGGAAACGGGGUCUAAUACCGGAUACGACACGGGACCGCAUGGUCUUCGUGUGGAAAGCUCCGGCGGUGCAGGAUGAGCCCGCGGCCUAUCAGCUUGUUGGUGGGGUGAUGGCCUACCAAGGCGACGACGGGUAGCCGGCCUGAGAGGGCGACCGGCCACACUGGGACUGAGACACGGCCCAGACUCCUACGGGAGGCAGCAGUGGGGAAUAUUGCACAAUGGGCGAAAGCCUGAUGCAGCGACGCCGCGUGAGGGAUGACGGCCUUCGGGUUGUAAACCUCUUUCAGCAGGGAAGAAGCGAGAGUGACGGUACCUGCAGAAGAAGCGCCGGCUAACUACGUGCCAGCAGCCGCGGUAAUACGUAGGGCGCAAGCGUUGUCCGGAAUUAUUGGGCGUAAAGAGCUCGUAGGCGGCUUGUCACG
This 563-nucleotide ribosomal RNA is filed under the name uncultured Actinomycetes bacterium. Its description in RNAcentral is "bacterial SSU rRNA". It matches the Rfam family "Bacterial small subunit ribosomal RNA", at positions 1 to 587 of the family's 1533-position model. The record is from RNAcentral. Lineage: Bacteria; Bacillati; Actinomycetota; Actinomycetes.